UACAGAGGGGGCAAGCGUUGUUCGGAAUUACUGGGCGUAAAGGGCGCGUAGGCGGGCGGCCGCGUCCGGGGUGAAAUCCCACGGCUCAACCGUGGAACGGCCUCGGAUACGGGCGGCCUCGAGGGGGGUAGGGGCGUGCGGAACUCUGGGUGGAGCGGUGAAAUGCGUUGAUAUCCAGAGGAACUCCGGUGGCGAAGGCGGCACGCUGGACCCCUUCUGACGCUGAGGCGCGAAAGCCAGGGGAGCGAACGGG
Molecule: ribosomal RNA, 253 nt
Filed under: uncultured bacterium
Lineage: Bacteria
Description: partial 16S ribosomal RNA
Rfam family: Bacterial small subunit ribosomal RNA
Source: RNAcentral